RNAcentral lists this ribosomal RNA (274 nucleotides) under uncultured bacterium. RNAcentral's name for it is "partial 16S ribosomal RNA". It matches the Rfam family "Bacterial small subunit ribosomal RNA", at positions 523 to 796 of the family's 1533-position model. The record is from RNAcentral.
AUACGGAGGGUCCAAGCGUUACCCGGAUUCAUUGGGUUUAAAGGGUCCGCAGGCGGGAAAAUGAGUCAGUGGUGAAAGCCUACAGCUCAACUGUAGAACUGCCAUUGAUACUGUUUUUCUUGAGUAUAGAUGAAGUGGGCGGAAUAUAUCAUGUAGCGGUGAAAUGCAUAGAUAUGAUAUAGAACACCGAUUGCGAAGGCAGCUCACUAAACUAUUACUGACGCUCAGGGACGAAAGCGUGGGGAGCGAACAGGAUUAGAAACCCUAGUAGUCC